Molecule: ribosomal RNA, 235 nt
Filed under: uncultured bacterium
Lineage: Bacteria
Description: partial 16S ribosomal RNA
Rfam family: Bacterial small subunit ribosomal RNA
Source: RNAcentral
CGGCGGACGGGUAAGUAAUGUAUGGGGAUCUGCCUGAUGGCGGGGGAUAACUACUGGAAACGGUAGCUAAUACCGCAUAAUGUCUACGGACCAAAGCGGGGGACCUCCGGGCCUCGCGCCAUCAGAUGAACCCAUAUGGGAUUAGCUAGUAGGUAAGGUAACGGCUUACCUAGGCGACGAUCCCUAGCUGGUCUGAGAGGAUGAUCAGCCACACUGGGACUGAGACACGGCCCAG